RNAcentral lists this transfer RNA (76 nucleotides) under Chromatiaceae bacterium. Its description in RNAcentral is "tRNA-Ile". It matches the Rfam family "tRNA". From Rfam's summary of the family: Transfer RNA (tRNA) molecules are approximately 80 nucleotides in length. Their secondary structure includes four short double-helical elements and three loops (D, anti-codon, and T loops). The record is from RNAcentral. Lineage: Bacteria; Pseudomonadati; Pseudomonadota; Gammaproteobacteria; Chromatiales; Chromatiaceae.
GGGCCGUUAGCUCAGCGGUUAGAGCAAGGGACUCAUAAUCCCUUGGUCCGGGGUUCAAAUCCCUGACGGCCCACCA